This is a non-coding RNA of Phrynosoma platyrhinos (Desert horned lizard), 72 nucleotides long. Lineage: Eukaryota; Metazoa; Chordata; Lepidosauria; Squamata; Phrynosomatidae. The record is from the annotation of a GenBank genome assembly.
GCCAGCAUGGCGUAGUGGUUUGAAUGUUGGACUAGGACUCUGGAGGCCAGGGUUCGAAUUUCAGUUCGGCCA